Pelobates cultripes (western spadefoot toad) is the source of this 297-nucleotide non-coding RNA. NCBI's taxonomy places the organism in Eukaryota, Metazoa, Chordata, Amphibia, Anura, Pelobatidae. The record is from the annotation of a GenBank genome assembly.
GAAAGCCUCUUCUCUCUAAAAAGAACAUGACAGCACAGCUUAGGUUUGCAAAGUUGCAUCUGAACAAACAACAAUGUCCUUUGUACAGACAAGACCAAAUUACAGAUGUUUGGGCAUAGCGCAAACCGUGAGGUUUGGCUUAUUUUGCAGCCAAAGAACCUGGGAUCCUUGAAGUCAUUGAGUCGACCAUGAACUCCUCUGUAUACCAAAGUAUUCUAGAGUCAAAUGUGAGGCCAUCUCUCCGGGCAGCUCAAGUGUUGCUGAAAUUGGGUCCUGCAACAGAACAAUGAUCCAAAG